Molecule: long non-coding RNA, 339 nt
Organism: Dalotia coriaria
Lineage: Eukaryota; Metazoa; Arthropoda; Insecta; Coleoptera; Staphylinidae
Exons: 2
Source: RefSeq, a predicted model, not a curated record
GUCGUCAUUUCUGGUGUGAUAACAUGCAAAUACAAAUAAAUCACAUCAACUGCAAUCAAAAUCAAGUUUAUCUCAAUUUUAUCACCGAGUGCAUUGAAUAAUGUAACAAUUUUAUCAGUUGUUUGUUCAAGCGCCACCAUUUACGACAACUGCUCACCGGCGAUUUUCUAACGGUUUCCGAACGGUAGUCGCUCUGUAUCCAUCGGUGGAAAUAAAUGAAUAUUCAUUUUCACUUGCAUCAUAAUCAUAAUUGUUAAUUGUAAACGCAAAAAUAUUAAAAAACCCUAAGUGUAUAGUGUAAUUAUGAAAAUAAGACAUAAAACUUUACUUAAACACUAA